UCAAAAAAAACAAAAACAAAAAAAAAAAACUGAUUUGUGAUUCUUCUAAAGAACUCUACUUAAAUAUUGGGCGCCAAAAAAGAUGACCUAUUGCAAUCCUGUUUGCUUUUUGGUAGACAUAAGUGGCCCGAAAGUAGCUACAUUAUUUUGAAAGAUUAUCCCGUAGCAGCGGUUGCCUGUCGUUAUUUCUGUAUUGGCUUUGAAUCUAUUCGAACAUGGCAAAAUUUUUUUCAAGAUAAUUACAAUUCACAGCCAGGACAGACCUAGCAUAAAUUAGAUUUUUCUAAACAGAUCCCAGCUCUGCUGUGAUGUGAUGGUAGUAGCGUCGAAAAUAUGUCGUCCAAAACAUAUCUCAGCUAUGUGGCUUCUACGUAUCUCGCUCGCUUGGCGUCCUCAUCUCCAUUUUGUAACCGCGAAUCCAGGCAGGCCGCGGCAGAUACACUUAAAGUUGACGGAGUCCACUUCUUUAGGAACUCCCGAAGAAGACUUAAUGCGGGCAACGAAUUCAACUACUUGGUAAGAGGGCAUUCCGGUGCACAAGGGUCUUGUUGCUACAGGGUCUAGGAAGGUUCCGAUGUACUCAGCCUUGCCUCCGGUAUGGAGAGGCUAUUUCUAUAUUUCAAACUUAUGACACCUUGGUCACAAUGGAGCAAGUUUACCAUGGCACUAAAGCCUGCCCUCUAAUGAUUUUAACUAUUAAGUACAUGACAAAAUACAAUGGAGCCUAUAUAAAGGUCAAAAUCAAGUCAACAUAUUGAAUUAGACUGAACACAUGCUAGAUAAACUUGUAUGGUAGAUAUGUGGUCACAACAAAGAAGUACAUCUUCAUGGAAAAUUCUACGUUGGAAUUUUGACCACUCCUAAUGUGAUCUCAUACACAAAAGGCUAAAUGGGUUUAUAAGUAUCUUGGUAGCCACACCAUCAAUUUAAGUUGGUUUGUCGACACCUGUGCUCUUUUAUCUCUAUGGUGAAUUUGUAACACCAGCAAAAGAUCUUUUGAAUUUGAGUUGACAAUACUGAAUCCUGACGAAGCUUUGAACCGUGUAUGGCAUCUCUAUGAUAAUGAGUUGCAUGGUAUUGAUUGCUUAACUAGAAUUUCAGUCGCUUUUGAUAAAGAAUACAACCUCAGUGAUUUCCAGCUCCAAGGAGAGCAGUUCAAGGGUCAUUGACAAGCUGUUGAAUCAGUUUGAGUACCGCCGAAGAAGGGAAUGGACUGCGAUUGUUGCGCGGCUGCGGAACUAACCACAUUUUCAAUGAUAAGCAGAUGCCCAUGAGGCUGGUUCUUCACUUGGCUGUGCAGUUGGCUAAGGAAUGGGCUGCAAGUGCCUCAUCAAUGACUUUGAUGCCCAUGUCUCUUUCAGGUCCGGCUUGAUGAAUUUCAUCAGGAAGGUUUUCUAUUUCAUCUGAAAAUGGAAGCAAGCCACUAAUCUGAAAUGUUCAGACAUGGAAAAGCAGAGUGAAGUCCUUAUGGAAACGUAUCAUAUGAAAUCCCACGAGUUACCUAAACUUCAGACAAAAGUUUACAGUGCUGUACUCCUGUUUUUGAAAGCGAAGAAGAAAUGCUUACAUGCAAAAUUUACAAGCUCAUGUCAGCUGAAGGGCUGAUUAGAAAGGUGAAGAAGGAACAAACUGUUCCCAACAUCUCAUCCUCCACAUGAUGAUCGCUUGACAACGCAACACGUGUUCGCAUCAUCUCAACCCACAUAUUGUUUUUCACUGGAUCUAGCAAUCAACUUCACAAUUCUACAUUGUUAGGAGAUACCCAUUUAAACAAACAUGUUUCAGACUGGAGAUCCAAUUAAACAGCUCAACUUGACACUUGAAAACAUAAUGCUUUAGGACUAGAAACAACAUUCUUGUACUGUUGUAGACUUCAAGCAUUUUAAGUUGAAAAUAGUUGAUA
Phoenix dactylifera (date palm) is the source of this 1903-nucleotide non-coding RNA. The record is from RefSeq and is a predicted model, not a curated record. NCBI's taxonomy places the organism in Eukaryota, Viridiplantae, Streptophyta, Magnoliopsida, Arecales, Arecaceae.